CCUACGGGAGGCAGCAGUGGGGAAUCUUGCGCAAUGGGCGAAAGCCUGACGCAGCAACGCCGCGUGCGGGAAGAAGGCUUUCGGGCUGUAAACCGCUUUCAGCAGGAACGAAAAUGACGGUACCUGCAGAAGAAGGAGCGGCCAACUAUGUGCCAGCAGCCGCGGUGAUACAUAGGCUUCAAGCGUUGUCCGGAUUUAUUGGGCGUAAAGAGUUCGUAGGCGGUCGAGUAAGUCGGGUGUGAAAAUUCUGGGCUCAACCCAGAGACGCCACCCGAUACUGCUUGACUUGAGUUCGAUAGGGGAGUGGGGAAUUCCUAGUGUAGCGGUGAAAUGCGCAGAUAUUAGGAGGAACACCGGUGGCGAAGGCGCCACUCUGGAUCGAUACUGACGCUGAGGAACGAAAGCAUGGGUAGCAAACAGGAUUAGAUACCCUGGUAGUCCAUGCCGUAAACGGUGGGCACUAGGUGUGGGUUUCUAUUAACGAAAUCCGCGCCGUCGCUAACGCAUUAAGUGCCCCGCCUGGGGAGUACGGUCGCAAGACUAAACUCAAAGGAAUUGACGG
This 562-nucleotide ribosomal RNA is filed under the name uncultured bacterium. Its description in RNAcentral is "bacterial SSU rRNA". It matches the Rfam family "Bacterial small subunit ribosomal RNA", at positions 338 to 916 of the family's 1533-position model. The record is from RNAcentral.